UACGUAGGGUGCAAGCGUUGUCCGGAAUUAUUGGGCGUAAAGAGCUCGUAGGCGGUCUGUCGAGUCGGAUGUGAAAACCCAGGGCUCAACCCUGGGCCUGCAUUCGAUACGGGCAGACUAGAGUUCGGUAGGGGAGACUGGAAUUCCUGGUGUAGCGGUGAAAUGCGCAGAUAUCAGGAGGAACACCGGUGGCGAAGGCGGGUCUCUGGGCCGAAACUGACGCUGAGGAGCGAAAGCGUGGGGAGCAAACAGG
Molecule: ribosomal RNA, 253 nt
Filed under: uncultured bacterium
Lineage: Bacteria
Description: partial 16S ribosomal RNA
Rfam family: Bacterial small subunit ribosomal RNA
Source: RNAcentral